ACUGCAGGACUAUUAUUUACCUAAGAUAUUUUAUAUAUUAAUGCACCUGCUUCCCAAGGCCUGAAAGCUGAGCAUCUGUAUAUUCUCAUCGGGGUCUCAGUGGUCUUCCUCUUCUGUCUCCUCCUCCUGGUCCUCUUCUGCCUCCAUCGCCAGAAUCAGAUAAAGCAGGGGCCCCCCAGAAGCAAGGACGAGGAGCAGAAGCCACAGCAGAGGCCUGACCUGGCUGUUGAUGUUCUAGAGAGGACAGCAGACAAGGCCACAGUCAAUGGACUUCCUGAGAAGGACAGAGAGACAGACACCUCGGCCCUGGCUGCAGGGAGUUCCCAGGAGGUGACGUAUGCUCAGCUGGACCACUGGGCCCUCACACAGAGGACAGCCCGGGCUGUGUCCCCACAGUCCACAAAGCCCAUGGCCGAGUCCAUCACGUAUGCAGCCGUUGCCAGACACUGACCCCAUACCCACCUGGCCUCUGCACCUGAGGGUAGAAAGUCACUCUAGGAAAAGCCUGAAGCAGCCAUUUGGAAGGCUUCCUGUUGGAUUCCUCUUCAUCUA
RNAcentral lists this unclassified non-coding RNA (552 nucleotides) under Homo sapiens (human). RNAcentral describes it as "leukocyte associated immunoglobulin like receptor 1 (ENSG00000278154.4)". The record is from RNAcentral. Lineage: Eukaryota; Metazoa; Chordata; Mammalia; Primates; Hominidae.